UGGGGGAUAUUGCACAAUGGGGGAAACCCUGAUGCAGCAAUGCCGCGUGAAGGAAGAAGGUCUUCGGAUUGUAAACUUCUGUCCUAUGGGAAGAUAAUGACGGUACCAUAGGAGGAAGCUCCGGCUAACUACGUGCCAGCAGCCGCGGUAAUACGUAGGGAGCAAGCGUUGUCCGGAUUUACUGGGUGUAAAGGGUGCGUAGGCUGUUAUGUAAGUCAGCGGUGAAAUACCUAAGCUCAACUUAGGGGCUGCCGUUGAGACUGCAUAGCUGGAAUAUGGUUGCUGUUGGCGGAAUGUGUAGUGUAGCGGUGAAAUGCAUAGAUAUUACACAGAACACCGAUUGCGAAGGCAGCUGACAAAACCAUAAUUGACGCUGAUGCGCGAAAGUGUGGGGAUCAAACA
This 402-nucleotide ribosomal RNA is filed under the name uncultured bacterium. Its description in RNAcentral is "bacterial SSU rRNA". It matches the Rfam family "Bacterial small subunit ribosomal RNA", at positions 355 to 774 of the family's 1533-position model. The record is from RNAcentral.